UACGGGGGGAGCAAGCGUUGUUCGGAUUUACUUGGCGUAAAGGGCGCGUAGGCGGCCAGCACAAGUCAGUUGUGAAAUCUCCGAGCUUAACUCGGAAAGGUCAACUGAUACUGUGCGGCUAGAGUGCGGAAGGGGCAACUGGAAUUCUUGGUGUAGCGGUGAGAUGCGUAGAUAUCAAGAGGAACACCUGCGGCGAAGGCGGGUUGCUGGGCCGACACUGACGCUGAGGUGCGAAAGCGUGGGGAGUAAACAGG
This 254-nucleotide ribosomal RNA is filed under the name uncultured bacterium. RNAcentral describes it as "partial 16S ribosomal RNA". It matches the Rfam family "Bacterial small subunit ribosomal RNA", at positions 524 to 776 of the family's 1533-position model. The record is from RNAcentral.